ACAUAUGUUGAGACAGGUAGAUAAGGGUUGGAUUUCAGUAUGAAAUCUCAAAUGGUUGUUCCUCAUCUCAAGCUACCUCGAUAAGUCUCUCUUUAGUUUCUUUUGUUUGAUUUUACACUUGCUUUACUUUUCUUUUAGCUACACAAUGUACAUUUCUUUCCUCUUUUGUUUGUCUUGCUCAAACUAUCUUUUAACUUUUUGUUUUUUUUGAAAAUGUUUUUCAUUUUCUAUUUCUCUCCUUUCUUUCAACCCUUUGAAAACGUUUCUAUUGCUCCCUUGUGUCAAACUUGCUCUCCCUUGUGAAUUAUCACUUUAUACAGUCUUACAAACUUCUCAGCAACAUUAAACAUUUUACUGGAAAAAUGGCAAACUGCUUGUUCCUGGGUUGGUGACCAACAUGUGAGGAGAUUUGAAAGAUGUGCCAAGAAUUGGAACAAGCAACAGUGAUUGUGCUAUAAGUGCCAGUCUCUGGUACCUGAGAUUGGAAUGUGUACAAUCAUAUAAUCUGUAACUUGAGGUAUUCCACGUAAAGACCUGCAUCAUAUUCAAAGACUGAAUAGCUAUGUGUAUGACUAGAGUCUGACAACUAAAGGCAUGGCAUUACUUUUAAAAACUAAAUAAGACUAUUAUUGGCUUAUGAAGAUAUUUAUUAAUAAUGUGAUGGAACCUCUUCACUAGUCUAUUAUGCACAAUAUUAACUUAUCCAUUUUGCUGAAAAAAAAGCACUGAAGUUCACUGUUAUUUAACUGGGAUAGUUUAGCCCAUUUGAAACCAUUUAUUCAUCUGAUACACUGUUGGCCUCUGCUGGUUUUUAAAGUCAUCCCAACUCACUGGCUUCCCACUAAUCUUCACCACAAUGAAGAUUGUGAAGCCACAGAAUGGCUAAAAGGAUGAAAACUGAGAAGAAAGUAUAUACUUAACAUUUGAGUUGUGUACAGAUGUAAAAUAGUUUUGGAUCAUACCAAGCAAAACAAGUUCACGCAAGACAAUAUGCUUACAAAGCAGCAUCAACUAAUGGAACAAGGAGUAGCACAUUAUCAUGUUUUAGAAUUAUGUUUGGCAUAAUGAAUAGAAUGAGAUAAUCUGUCUUAAAUUUCAAAAUACUUUAAAAUAAUGGCACUUUUACCCAUACACAAUAAAUGUGCAACACUCUGUGUUAAAAA
Molecule: non-coding RNA, 1163 nt
Organism: Chiloscyllium plagiosum (whitespotted bambooshark)
Lineage: Eukaryota; Metazoa; Chordata; Chondrichthyes; Orectolobiformes; Hemiscylliidae
Source: RefSeq, a predicted model, not a curated record